Molecule: ribosomal RNA, 200 nt
Filed under: uncultured bacterium
Lineage: Bacteria
Description: partial 16S ribosomal RNA
Rfam family: Bacterial small subunit ribosomal RNA
Source: RNAcentral
UACGGAGGGUGCAAGCGUUGCUCGGAAUCACUGGGCGUAAAGCGUACGCAGGCGGUCAAAUAAGUCGGGUGUGAAAGCCCGGGGCUCAACCCCGGAACUGCACUCGAAACUGUCUGACUUGAGUACGGGAGAGGAGAGCGGAAUUCCUGGUGUAGAGGUGAAAUUCGUAGAUAUCAGGAGGAACACCCGUGGCGAAAGCG